Molecule: ribosomal RNA, 1491 nt
Filed under: uncultured bacterium
Lineage: Bacteria
Description: 16S ribosomal RNA
Rfam family: Bacterial small subunit ribosomal RNA
Source: RNAcentral
UUGAUCAUGGCUCAGGAUGAACGCUAGCGGCAGGCUUAACACAUGCAAGUCGAGGGGCAGCGGGGAGGAAGCUUGCUUUCUCCGUCGGCGACCGGCGCACGGGUGAGUAACACGUAUGCAACCUGCCCCUGUCAGGGGGACAACCCGCCGAAAGGCGGGCUAAACCCGCGUACAUGCCACCGGGGCAUCCCGGAGGCAGGAAAGGCUUCGGCCGGACAGGGAUGGGCAUGCGGCGCAUUAGGCAGUAGGCGGGGUAACGGCCCACCUAACCGACGAUGCGUAGGGGUUCUGAGAGGAAGGUCCCCCACACUGGUACUGAGACACGGACCAGACUCCUACGGGAGGCAGCAGUGAGGAAUAUUGGUCAAUGUCGGGAGACUGAACCAGCCAAGCCGCGUGAGGGAUGAAGGUACAGAGUAUCGUAAACCUCUUUUGUCAGGGAACAAAGGCGGGGACGUGUCCCCGGAUGAGUGUACCUGAAGAAAAAGCAUCGGCUAACUCCGUGCCAGCAGCCGCGGUAAUACGGAGGAUGCGAGCGUUAUCCGGAUUUAUUGGGUUUAAAGGGUGCGCAGGCGGUCUGUUAAGUCAGCGGUCAAAGCCCGGGGCUCAACCCCGGCCCGCCGUUGAAACUGGCAGUCUCGAGUUGGAGAGAAGUAUGCGGAAUGCGCGGUGUAGCGGUGAAAUGCAUAGAUAUCGCGCAGAACUCCGAUUGCGAAGGCAGCAUGCCGGCUCCACACUGACGCUGAGGCACGAAAGCGUGGGUAUCGAACAGGAUUAGAUACCCUGGUAGUCCACGCAGUAAACGAUGAAUGCUGGCUGUCCGGGGGGACUGACCCCUGGGUGGCGAAGCGAAAGCGAUAAGCAUUCCACCUGGGGAGUACGCCGGCAACGGUGAAACUCAAAGGAAUUGACGGGGGCCCGCACAAGCGGAGGAACAUGUGGUUUAAUUCGAUGAUACGCGAGGAACCUUACCCGGGCUCAAACGGGGAGUGACUCAGGCAGAGACGCCUGUUUCCCACGGGACACUCCCCGAGGUGCUGCAUGGUUGUCGUCAGCUCGUGCCGUGAGGUGUCGGCUUAAGUGCCAUAACGAGCGCAACCCCCGCGUGCAGUUGCUAACAGUCAACGCUGAGGACUCUGCACGGACUGCCGGCGCAAGCCGCGAGGAAGGCGGGGAUGACGUCAAAUCAGCACGGCCCUUACGUCCGGGGCGACACACGUGUUACAAUGGGUGGUACAGCGGGAAGCCAGGCGGCGACGCCGAGCGGAACCCGAAAUCCACUCUCAGUUCGGAUCGGAGUCUGCAACCCGACUCCGUGAAGCUGGAUUCGCUAGUAAUCGCGCAUCAGCCAUGGCGCGGUGAAUACGUUCCCGGGUCUUGUACACACCGCCCGUCAAGCCAUGGGAGCCGAGGGCGCUUGAAGUGCGUCGCCGCGAGGCGCGCCCUAGAGCGAAAUCGGUGACUGGGGCUAAGUCGUAACAAGGUAACCGU